UUCUGGUUGAUUACCGUCAAGUAAAGGACAGUUACUACUGUCUAUCCUUCUUCACCAACAACAGAGCUUUACGAUCCGAAAACCUUCUUCACUCACGCGGCGUUGCUCCAUCAGACUUGCGUCCAUUGUGGAAGAUUCCCUACUGCUGCCUCCCGUAGGAGU
This 162-nucleotide ribosomal RNA is filed under the name uncultured bacterium. RNAcentral's name for it is "partial 16S ribosomal RNA". The record is from RNAcentral.